Molecule: long non-coding RNA, 360 nt
Filed under: Carica papaya (papaya)
Lineage: Eukaryota; Viridiplantae; Streptophyta; Magnoliopsida; Brassicales; Caricaceae
Description: long non-coding RNA (CPAP_LNC007138)
Source: RNAcentral
AAUAAAUGGUUUUCCUUAUGAUAAAUAAAUUUGUUUAAAUCAAGAGCUGUAUUGGUUGUUUUUAUGAUUUUUACCAACAUUCAGUUUCUGUAUCGGUGAAUAAUGUGAUAUUCUUAGUGGGUUAGUGUAAUUCGUCAUUUCAUUAACUAUUUCAGAUCAAGAGGAUCAAGAUUCAGAUUCCGAUCAACAAGAGGGUUGUAAAUAAGUUCACCACCCGAACUCUCUUCAAAAGCUACCGAAGGUCGUUCUAGAAUAGUCAGUUAUUUGAUUUUCGUUUGUCUUUUUAGAAUGGACAUUUCCGUAAUUCUAUUGGGCAUUAUAAAUUAUUGUGUAAGGAAUGUAAACAGUAUACUCUAUUAU